This 73-nucleotide transfer RNA is filed under the name Sphingobacteriaceae bacterium. RNAcentral describes it as "tRNA-Pro". It matches the Rfam family "tRNA". From Rfam's summary of the family: Transfer RNA (tRNA) molecules are approximately 80 nucleotides in length. The record is from RNAcentral. Lineage: Bacteria; Pseudomonadati; Bacteroidota; Sphingobacteriia; Sphingobacteriales; Sphingobacteriaceae.
CGGGAAGUAGUUCAGUUGGCAGAACGCGGGCUUUGGGAGCUUGAGGUCGCAGGUUCGAGUCCUGUUUUCCCGA